UGUGGGAUCUAUAUGGGUAAGGCAAACCCAGUAUCCUUUAAAAUCAGAAUGCCAGACUGGAUUGGUUGCAGUAACAGCUAAAUUUGCUCAUCCUGGUUUGCUUGUAGGACAUAAAUGCAAGAACCUGCCAAGAAAACCAAUGGCCAAGAUGAUUGAUGAGUGCAGGACCUGAGAGAAGCACCUUGAAUGACAACCUCGAGCAGUUUCCAGUAUUGGAUUUAAAAGAUGGCCUUUGCUGCAUCUGCUUGAGCAAGGAAAGCCAAGAAACCUUUGCUUUGGAAGGAGAAAAUCUGGAAAGCAGGAAGGAAGAAAAGCAGCCCCCUGACUCCUCCCUGAGCCCCAGACAGCCCAUGAACUGCCUUGCUGGGAAUGGUAGGACAGGAUGGACUCUGGAUUGCUCCCUCUGGAUGUGUGGAACUCCAGGAACUCCUGGUGCCGCCUGGGCCGAUGGAUUGGACGCCCCAGCCCCUCCGUUCCUGCCCAGCCACUGGGUCCGUGUCCAGUGGUGGCACUGCCAGCCCUGCAGUGGGAUGUAGCCUGGAAAGUGCACAGAGCUGAGCCAAGGGAUUGAAAGGGAGCAACCAAGAGAGGUGAAGGAAGAAGGAAG
This is a long non-coding RNA of Pseudopipra pipra, 607 nucleotides long. RefSeq lists it as uncharacterized. Lineage: Eukaryota; Metazoa; Chordata; Aves; Passeriformes; Pipridae. The transcript is spliced from 3 exons. The record is from RefSeq and is a predicted model, not a curated record.